This 709-nucleotide long non-coding RNA is filed under the name Daphnia magna. RNAcentral's name for it is "uncharacterized LOC123476891, transcript variant X1". Lineage: Eukaryota; Metazoa; Arthropoda; Branchiopoda; Diplostraca; Daphniidae. The record is from RNAcentral.
AACUUGUACUGCCAUGUAGCGAUUUCGAUAGACGACGCCUUCAAGGGAGGAGGAGUCUACAACAUAUUGAAUUUAUCGAUCGAUUGUUAGGCCGAUUUCGAUCAGCAUUGUAUAGUUAAUGAAUGACAACUUGACGAGAUCUUGACACGCACGUUGGAAGUGUACGCGUGUUUGCACCUCGAUGAGCGUUGCACAAUAACAAAGCUCCGUUGGUGAGCGUAUUGAUUAAUAAAGCUAGGUGAAGUCCUUGAGUGCCUCAAGGACUUUGUUUUGUUUUAGCAGUAUUUUUUCCUUCAACAAUUAAUCUUGCAUCUCCAACCGUGGAAUGAGUUACAUGUGACUCGAGACAAACAAACAGUGCAAUUGCAACAAUAUAAUUAGUCAGCGAUAUAAAUUUGCCAUAUCUUCAUGCCAACCACAAGGAUUCUGAUUUGCACACACCUUCAUUAUUAAUGCGUUUCUUCAGGUAUGGUCACUAUCAGCAGCUUAACACACUGUGUUCAUCGUGAAUACAUCAAUCCCAGAGAAAACAUUCCAAUGGAAAAUAUUGAGAAUUUCUGCCCUUCUAUCCUGAACUAAACAAUGCUGGUUUGUAUAAAUAGGCAUAAAAAAACCUAUCAACAGUAUUUUUAGUUUGCAGUUUGCUUUAACAUACAACUCUAUGGCAUGUUGAUAUUGUCGCGGGUGAAAAGGCAGAUUGGUUAUCUCU